GCUGGACUGGCCAAGGCGGAAGCCAUGGGACAGCGAGACCAUUCCCAAGGGAGAGAGCCACACGUACAAAGGCUCUGAGGAAGAAAACUUGGCCUGUUGGAGGCACUGAAAGCGAGGAAGCAUGGCUCACAGAGGUGGCCAAGCUGAGGCUAAAAGUGAGCAGAGAUCGAGCCAAUGCACUCCAGCCUGGGCAACAGAGCAAGAGUUCAUCUCAAAAAAAAAAAAAAACAUUUAACAUGAGGUC
This 244-nucleotide long non-coding RNA is filed under the name Homo sapiens (human). Its description in RNAcentral is "non-protein coding lnc-N4BP1-6:1". The record is from RNAcentral. Lineage: Eukaryota; Metazoa; Chordata; Mammalia; Primates; Hominidae.